UCCCUGGUGGCUCAGACGGUAAAGAAUCUGCCUGCAAUGCAGGAGACCUGGGUUCGAUCCCCUGGUUGGGAC
Ovis aries (sheep) is the source of this 72-nucleotide transfer RNA. It matches the Rfam family "tRNA". From Rfam's summary of the family: Transfer RNA (tRNA) molecules are approximately 80 nucleotides in length. Lineage: Eukaryota; Metazoa; Chordata; Mammalia; Artiodactyla; Bovidae. The record is from Rfam.